Panthera uncia (snow leopard) is the source of this 4782-nucleotide RNA transcript. It is a transcript of the gene named ubiquitin specific peptidase 48, with no coding region annotated. NCBI's taxonomy places the organism in Eukaryota, Metazoa, Chordata, Mammalia, Carnivora, Felidae. The record is from RefSeq and is a predicted model, not a curated record. The transcript is spliced from 12 exons.
GGUGCUCAGACGCUGCUUCCCCAGCAGCGCCGGUGAGGACGUGGCAACACUACCUCGAACAGGCUGCUUCCCCUUCCUCCACCCGUCGGGCUAGAGGCGCGGGGUGGCGCAAAGACUGCUGGGAACGCGCAUGCGCCCACCGCGGCGGGGAGUAUACCUCCAACGUCUGCGGGCGCGAGGGGUGUCGGGUGUCGGCGGCGGCGCUUUGCGGCUAGUCGUGCGGGUCGGGCGCGGGCGGGCGGGCGCGGCGGCAGUGGCGCGCACAGGUGAUUGACUGGCCAGCUGGCUGAGGGAUCGCCUGGUCCCCAUUGCUGGCAGGUGGCGGAGCCCAUUUGGGCGGCGGCAGCGGCAGCAGCAACAGCAGCGACGGCUCGGCUCGGGAGGCGCUCUUCGGGCCAAGGCCAUGGCCCCGCGGCUGCAGCUGGAGAAGGCGGCCUGGCGCUGGGCGGAGACGGUGCGGCCCGAGGAGGUGUCGCAGGAGCACAUCGAGACCGCGUACCGCAUCUGGCUGGAGCCUUGCAUCCGCGGCGUGUGCAGACGAAACUGCAAAGGAAAUCCGAAUUGCUUGGUUGGGAUUGGUGAGCAUAUUUGGUUAGGAGAAAUAGAUGAAAAUAGUUUCCAUAACAUUGAUGAUCCCAACUGUGAGAGGAGAAAAAAGAACUCAUUUGUGGGCCUCACUAACCUUGGAGCUACUUGUUAUGUCAACACGUUUCUUCAAGUGUGGUUUCUCAACUUGGAGCUUCGGCAGGCACUAUACUUAUGUCCAAGUACCUGUAGCGACUACGUGAUGGGAGAUAGUAUCCAAGAGGAGAAAGAUUAUGAACCUCAGACAAUUUGUGAGCAUCUCCAGUACCUGUUUGCCUUGUUGCAAAACAGUAACAGGCGAUACAUCGAUCCAUCGGGAUUUGUUAAAGCCUUGGGCUUGGACACAGGACAACAGCAGGAUGCCCAAGAAUUUUCAAAGCUAUUUAUGUCUCUUUUGGAAGAUACUUUGUCUAAACAAAAGAAUCCAGAUGUGCGGAACAUUGUCCAGCAGCAAUUCUGUGGAGAAUAUGCUUAUGUAACUGUCUGCAACCAGUGUGGCAGAGAGUCUAAGCUUUUAUCAAAGUUUUAUGAACUGGAGUUAAAUAUCCAAGGCCAUAAACAGUUAACAGAUUGUAUCUCGGAAUUUUUGAAGGAAGAAAAAUUAGAAGGAGACAAUCGAUACUUUUGUGAAAACUGUCAAAGUAAACAGAACGCAACAAGGAAGAUCAGACUCCUCAGCCUUCCCUGCACCCUGAACUUACAGCUGAUGCGCUUUGUCUUUGACAGGCAAACUGGACAUAAGAAAAAGCUGAAUACCUACAUUGGCUUCUCAGAAAUUUUGGAUAUGGAGCCUUAUGUGGAACAUAAAGGUGGGUCCUAUGUGUAUGAACUGAGUGCAGUCCUUAUACACAGAGGAGUGAGUGCUUAUUCUGGCCACUACAUUGCCCAUGUGAAAGAUCCACAGUCCGGUGAAUGGUAUAAGUUUAAUGACGAAGACAUAGAAAAGAUGGAGGGGAAGAAAUUACAACUAGGGAUUGAGGAAGAUCUAGCAGAACCUUCUAAGUCCCAGACACGUAAACCCAAGUGUGGCAAAGGAACUCACUGCUCUCGAAAUGCAUACAUGUUGGUGUAUAGACUACAAACUCAAGAAAAACCCAACACAAUUGUUCAGGUACCAGCCUUUCUUCAAGAGCUGGUAGAUCGGGAUAAUUCCAAGUUUGAGGAGUGGUGUAUUGAAAUGGCCGAGAUGCGUAAGCAAAGUGUGGAUAAAGGAAAAGCAAAGCACGAAGAGGUUAAGGAGCUGUACCAAAGGUUACCUGCUGGAGCUGGUCUGUAAGAUAUUCUGGGACAGCACUGCUGCCAUUAUGUGCCUUGUUUCUUUCGUGUUCACAAAUGUAUAUGAACAAACUUUCCCCUACCCUUUCUUAUAACCCACUAACGCCAGCUUAAGCACUAUAAAAUUACUAUGUAAACGAGCAAUAAUUUGAUGCAUAGCAUUCCAUAUAGUUUUCAUUAUCAUGUACUUUUAAGAAUGGGAAGCUCUUAACAAAUUAAAAGGUUUAGGUCAGCAUUCUGCAUAUGUAUGAGUCUUACAGGCAUUUCUAUUUUGUGAGAUAUUAAUUUGUUCUUAAAAAUCUGAUUGGGUUAUGGAAGCAACUCACUGCCCUCACAGUCUUAACAGGCAGUCUUGUCUGUGUACUAUUUUUAAUGAUACUAUUAUACUAAUUUGAAAUUUAAUAUCAAACAUUAUGCUAAGAAUGGAGAGCUUUCUGCUGACCCUUAAUUUUUUAAGAAUUAUCCCACACAAGCCAGCUCAUCCCUUUACUGUGUAUGUUUAUUCAAGUUUACCUAGUGCCUUAGAAAAUCCCAACUUUUUAAGCCUUCAGUACCAUUGGUAACGAUGUGUCUUUAACGUUUCCUAGGCAGACUUCCCCAUGUCCAAUUCCUACGUAAAGAAGAGAGGCAAUUUAAUCCUAAAUUUUGAAGAUAAAUACUCAAGUAUAAUUGUACUUGUGGUUUUGUCUUUUUCAUAUCUUAUUUUUCCAUUACUGGUAUACUCUUUUAAACAAAAGAUGAAUAUAAAUUGCUAAAUCUGUAAGAGUGACUCUGAACAGUUCUUUCUAAACCACAUCUUUAUUUGAUUCUGACUUUUUUUUGUAAUGCGUUGGUCUCACUCUGUCCCAAGGGUUGGGAUUAUUCUAAAGAAUGAGACUGACCCUGAUGUUACUGAAAAUGAUUUGGACGUGAAUAUGAUUCAAAUACCUAAAUUUAUUCAAAGGAGUUGAGACCUAGAAAUCUACUUUUUGAACUGUAUUCCUAGUUUUCUGCAUUCACUGGACAAGAGAAUGGUUCAAAACUGCAUUUUAUGUUAGAUGCAGUUAAGUUCCUCUCUUUUAAAACCGCAUUGUCCAAAGGCAGGAUGUGUCUGGUUAGCACAUACUUGGGCAUCUCCUGGCUGUUUUCAGUCUCUAAGAAACUGCUCUUGUGUUCUUAGAAUAUCUCUCCGUUAUCAGUACUUUUACCAGUUAGGAACAUCUUCCUCCCAUUUGCAGUAAACAUACAUAGUAGAAUAUCUAUGUCGUGUUAAGUGUUGAAAAUCCAAAAUCAGAUGAAUGUGGUUUUGUGCUGCCAAUCCUAGUCUUUGUUAUGCAUUUUCUAACUCUUACUUGUGUUUGUGAACAUUUAUAUAAAAGAAGAGUCAUUUAUCCUAAAACAUAUGUCUCAUUGGGAACACAGACACUUUUGGCCCUUUUUAUUGAAAUUUAAAUAAGGUAUCUGCAAAUAAUGGUAAAGUAUCUCUAGGUGUGAAGUGUUGCAAAUAUUUUUGAGGCCACAGUCUUUGUAGACUUUUGUAAUUCCCCCCAAGGGAUUUCCUUGUGUUCAAAAUUCAGGCAUUAAAAAAAAAAAAAGUUAUACAUAACUUUAACCAAAAUGUACAUUUCUCUCUGGUAAAUACUGUCACAAGUGCUUUCCUGUUUUGUGAAGUGGUGAGAUGAUAGACCGUUCAGUAUUUCCACCUUGGCGAUUAGAGUGCGCAUUCCUUUUUCGGUGCUUGAUUACCCAUGCCUUCGGAAGACAGUGCUGAGCUGGUUUGCUAGAUCACAAAUCAUAGGGAAUCUGCCAUGAGUCUUUCUCUAGGACAGAAACGUCAGUAGUGUAAAAACUCUCCAGAAGCAGAUCUGCCUUAACUCUUGAGACUUGAGCUCGUCCCUGAUUGUCUGGGAACUCUUGGCAGAGACUGAUCCAACUCUUUAUAGUAAUCGAGAUUGGGAAUGGAAAGACAGACAGACCUAUGUGAACCACAGCCCCUCUUCCUUCCAUGGGUCCUCCAGCACACUAAAACUAGCACCCUGAAUCUAGAAAAUCAGUAGAAUUAAUAAUACAGAAUUCCAUCAGAACCCCAGAACUGCUCUCUGCUCUCUCCCUUCCUCCUCUUACUGUAAAAUCAGAUGUGAUUUUUCUGAUCUUCAUGACUUACUUUUAAUUCGUAUGUAACUGCUCAAAACCAAAACAAUAACCUUCACUUGGAAGUUUUCUGUGGGAUUCGAGUAGGGGAUUGGGAAAUCUUGUCUGAAGCAGAUUGCCUUUGAGUCACAUUAUCAUACAGGUCCGGGAUACAGCCACCCUGGGCUUUCAAUUCCAGCAGCCGGCCCUUGGCACAGAGUGUUUUCUGUACUUCCUGGACUCCUUUUCUCGUGAGGGUCGGGAUCCUUAUGGUUUGUUUGCAGUUAGCAAUAGUGGGCAUUGUCUGCUCUUCCCUCCCCAGCACCUGGGGACAUGAGAACACCUGGUGAAUGGUUCUUGAAUGUUCCUCUGUGUCACAGUUCAGUUUUCCCUCCUUUGAUGGUCUUCAGAUUAGUAAAAAUUUUAACCUAUGUGACUGUAUUUGAGAAAGGAUUAGAUAUGCUAAGAGUUUCAUUUUGCUUUCUUGGACAGAGAUCAUGUAUCUUAGUAAAAUUCUGAAGAUAACCAGGUGUACUCUGUCCCUGGCAGAUUAAACUCGAUAAAUGCCAAAUAAAAUUGGGAAGUAUUUUGAAUUUAAUUAGCUGUAUCAUUAUAUAUUGUAGAGUGUCACAACCAUGUUACCUAUACUGAAUCUUAAGGUCUCCACUUUAUAUAUUGUGUGAAUGUAUGAUUAACUUUUCUAUAUCUCUUUUCUUCCAAAAAGCUCAAAAUGCUUCACAUAUCUUAUCUUUUACAUUCAACAACAUCCCUGUGAGAGCCCUAUGAAUUUGUCUCUCUCGAGUGGCUACAGAA